This 358-nucleotide ribosomal RNA is filed under the name uncultured bacterium. RNAcentral's name for it is "partial 16S ribosomal RNA". It matches the Rfam family "Bacterial small subunit ribosomal RNA", at positions 338 to 693 of the family's 1533-position model. The record is from RNAcentral.
CCUACGUGAGGCAGCAGUGAGGAAUAUUGGUCAAUGGGCGGAAGCCUGAACCAGCCAAGUAGCGUGCAGGAUGACGGCCCUACGGGUUGUAAACUGCUUUUAUACGGGAAUAACGCGCCUUACGUGUAGGGCUUUGCAUGUACCGUAUGAAUAAGGACCGGCUAAUUCCGUGCCAGCAGCCGCGGUAAUACGGAAGGUCCGGGCGUUAUCCGGAUUUAUUGGGUUUAAGGGGAGCGUAGGCCGCAUGUCAAGCGUGCUGUGAAAUGUCCGGGCUCAACCCGGGCCUUGCAGCGCGAACUGGCGGGCUUGAGGCCGCGGACAGCAGGCGGAAUCCGAGGUGUAGGGGGGAACUGCUUAG